Theobroma umbraticum is the source of this 1035-nucleotide RNA transcript. It is a transcript of the gene named BSD domain-containing protein, with no coding region annotated. NCBI's taxonomy places the organism in Eukaryota, Viridiplantae, Streptophyta, Magnoliopsida, Malvales, Malvaceae. The record is from RefSeq and is a predicted model, not a curated record.
CUAUACUUCUAAUGUCGUAAAGCCUUUACUAAUGUACUAAAAUCGAACAAAAAAAAAAGAAAAAAAGAGAAGCAGUCGUGAUACCAAAUCUCGGGAAAAGGAAUCCCAAGAGCCCGAGGCUACGAGCAGACGACAAUGAACCUGUCAUCGUGGUUUCACAGCAGUGUUUCGAGGAACAGUAAUAAGAGCAAAAAUCCAGAGCAACAGCAAUCCAACCAGUCCGACCAAAACCAACAGAGCAAAGCAGUAGUAGAAGAAGAAGAAGAAUUGUUUGGAGUUACCCAACAAUUAAUCGAUUAUGUCAAGUCCUUCACUUCGGAAACCUUCAAGAAUUUCCCCCUCCAAGAUCAUGAGGCAGCUAAUUCUAACAGUGAAACCCAAACUUCUUCUAAUGUGCGUAAGGAUCUUUCUGACUGGCAAGAGCGGCAUGCUGUCAUAGUUCUUGCAAAAGUCAAGGUACUUUCACAGCUUAGAUUUCAGCUAUGCCCUCGCCACUUGAAGGAGGAUAAAUUUUGGAGGAUAUAUUUCAUGCUUGUCAAGAGCCAUGUGGCUGGUUUUCACCAUUAUUCUUUAUGUCACCACGCAAAGAACCUGCUAACAGCGGCACUGGACCAAGAACAACGCCAUUGCUGCACUGCUACUACCAGAUGGCCAGCACCAUGUUCUUUUUUCUAGUUUGCUGACCUACCAUCAUCUCUGCAACUUUAUCACUACCACAGCAGCUACAUCCCCAUAAAGUUCAAUUCCUUUUCUGGACUAACAUCUGACCUAUAUUUACCUGGAGAAUUCAUUUUAAAGGAGCCCAAAAUGCUUUAGCAUUGGAAAAGUUUCUUCACCAUCAAGUGUCACAGACUCACAGUGAAUCUUUUGGGUUGCACAUGCCUUGACAGCACCACUAUAUGAGCUGCAAGCUGUACUACUAGCUAAACUAAAAGGGAAUUCUAUGUCGAAUGAGAAAACAUUGGAUACCAGUGCAUAUGAAGUUGAAAUGGCAGAAAGAAAUCAAGCAGCUAGUAUUGCACCAUCAACUCCAUG